Acanthochromis polyacanthus (spiny chromis) is the source of this 780-nucleotide long non-coding RNA. RefSeq lists it as uncharacterized. The record is from RefSeq and is a predicted model, not a curated record. The transcript is spliced from 3 exons. Lineage: Eukaryota; Metazoa; Chordata; Actinopteri; Pomacentridae.
UUGUUGGGGUUGUACCUGGGAUACUUCGUCUCUGGAGUUCCAUUUGACAGACAGAAGCAGCUUAGGAAGAGAUUCUGGGAUGUUUACACAGUAAUGUCUGCAGAGAGACAGGUAGGGAGACAGGUGGAGAGACAGGUGGAGAGACAGGUGGAGAGACAGGUGGAGAGACAGGUAGGGAGACAGGUGGAGAGACAGGUAGGGAGACAGGUAGGGAGAGACAGGUGGAGAGACAGGUGGAGAGACAGGUGGAGAGACAGGUGGAGAGACAGGUAGAGAGACAGGUAGAGAGACAGGUGGAGAGACAGGUAGAGAGACAGGUGGAGAGACAGGUAGAGAGACAGGUGGAGAGACAGGUAGAGAGACAGGUAGAGAGACAGGUGGAGAGACAGGUGGAGAGACAGGUAGAGAGACAGGUAGAGAGACAGGUAGGGAGACAGGUGGAGAGACAGGUAGGGAGACAGGUGGAGAGACAGGUGGAGAGACAGGUAGAGAGACAGGUGGAGAGACAGGUGGAGAGACAGGUAGGGAGACAGGUGGAGAGACAGGUGGAGAGACAGGUAGGGAGACAGGUGGAGAGACAGGCGGAGAGACAGGUGGAGAGACACGUAGAGAGACAAGUAGACAUACAGGUAGACAGUCAGACAGACAGGUGUGGACAAUAAUCAGUUAUUGGUCAAAAAAGUCUGCAUUUGUGUAGACUGUUCCCCUCAGCUGUGUCUCACCUGUCUCUCCUCAUUAGGCCCCGCCCUCACCUGUGUCUGCUCAUUAGGCCCCACAUUC